RNAcentral lists this ribosomal RNA (468 nucleotides) under uncultured bacterium. Its description in RNAcentral is "partial 16S ribosomal RNA". It matches the Rfam family "Bacterial small subunit ribosomal RNA", at positions 28 to 507 of the family's 1533-position model. The record is from RNAcentral.
GACGAACGCUGGCGGCGUGCUUAACACAUGCAAGUCGAACGGAAAGGCCCUGCUUUUGUGGGGUGCUCGAGUGGCGAACGGGUGAGUAACACGUGAGUAACCUGCCCUUGACUUUGGGAUAACUUCAGGAAACUGGGGCUAAUACCGGAUAGGAGCUCCUGCUGCAUGGUGGGGGUUGGAAAGUUUCGGCGGUUGGGGAUGGACUCGCGGCUUAUCAGCUUGUUGGUGGGGUAGUGGCUUACCAAGGCUGUGACGGGUAGCCGGCCUGAGAGGGUGACCGGCCACAUUGGUACUGAGAUACGGCCCAGACGCCUACGGGAGGCAGCAGUGGGGAAUAUUGCACAAUGGGCGGAAGCCUGAUGCAGCAACGCCGCGUGCGGGAUGACGGCCUUCGGGUUGUAAACCGCUUUCGCCUGUGACGAAGCGUGAGUGACGGUAAUGGGUAAAGAAGCACCGGCUAACUACGUG